CGGUGUAUAGCUCAGUGGUACAGCAUGUGCUUAGCAUGCACAAGGUCCCGAGUUCAAUCCCCAAUACUUCCA
This 72-nucleotide transfer RNA is filed under the name Camelus bactrianus (Bactrian camel). It matches the Rfam family "tRNA". From Rfam's summary of the family: Transfer RNA (tRNA) molecules are approximately 80 nucleotides in length. Lineage: Eukaryota; Metazoa; Chordata; Mammalia; Artiodactyla; Camelidae. RNAcentral also lists the same sequence under 1 other name. The record is from Rfam by way of RNAcentral.